ACGGAGCCUGCGACGGUUCACGCCAUUUUCCUGACGCUGCUGACGGCGCUGAUUGUGGUGCCGAUCAAUAUCCUGUUCGGCCUUGCCGCGGCGUGGACGGUGACCAAGUUCGAUUUUCGGGGAAAAACGCUGCUGAUCUCGCUGAUCGAGUUGCCCUACUCGAUCUCACCGAUCGUCGCCGGUGUCGCCUAUCUGUUCGUCUACGGCUCGCAGGGCCUGUUCGGGCCGCUGCUUGAGUCAUUGGGCAUCAAGGUGAUGUUCGCGCUGCCCGCGAUC
This 276-nucleotide unclassified non-coding RNA is filed under the name Hevea brasiliensis (rubber tree). Lineage: Eukaryota; Viridiplantae; Streptophyta; Magnoliopsida; Malpighiales; Euphorbiaceae. The record is from RNAcentral.